AAGUCGUAACAAGGUCUCCGUAGGUGAACCUGCGGAGGGAUCAUUAUCACAAUAACAAGGCGGGCUUGGACACCCCCCGCUGGCACUGCUUCACGGCGUUGCGCGGCGGGCCGGCCUGCUGAAUUAUUCACCCGUGUCUUUUGGUACUUCUUGUUCCAUGGUGGGCUCGCCGCCUCAGGACAACACAAACCUUUGCAAUAGCAAUCACGUCAGUAACAACGUAAUUAAUACAA
RNAcentral lists this unclassified non-coding RNA (233 nucleotides) under plant metagenome. Its description in RNAcentral is "partial contains small subunit ribosomal RNA and internal transcribed spacer 1". The stretch from base 1 to 46 matches the Rfam family "Eukaryotic small subunit ribosomal RNA", at positions 1786 to 1831 of the family's 1831-position model. The record is from RNAcentral.